AUGCUUUGGCCCUACCUAACGAUGCGACUUUCAAACAGGUUAAACCCUGCCAACCUUUACAAAUGUCAAAAAACUUUAAAGAUGAACUAAAAACUGCGUACGAUGGUUUUCGUACGACAAAUUACGAUCAUUUUUUUCUCCUCUAAUUGUCCCUGGCCAGACCAAGCCAAAAAAGACCAAGCCCAAUAACACCACGCUGCAUGUCGUACAUAAAUCUUACAAAAUAAUCGUUUUGCAUAACACUGCCAACUAAACCUUGUGGGCAAAAACAAAGAGUCAUGCACGUACGUACGUCUACGCAUCUAGCUGUAAUGAGCUUUCUAGACUGAGUAGAUUGUGUUUUCUUUGCAAUUUUAUCCUUUUUUUUUUCUUGUUGUUCACCUUUGUUUGUACAUGUAACCAUUUAUUUUUAUAUUUUUUCUUUCUUCAAAAUGCAACCGAGUGGUUAUAUAAUAUUUAUUAAAAAGAACGGCCAGAAAUCCAGUACAAUGCCGUCAAGCGACUACAACGCCACAGGUGGCAGUGAAACAAAAAACACUGUACGUUGCUAAAAGCAACUCGCUUAUACUAAGGGUUGAAAAGGAGAACCUUGCCGUUAGUAGCCCGGCCCUCUCCAAACAAGUCGCCUCCUCAAGGAUCUGCCGCAACCCCCUUACGCACGAAGGUGAAGCUCCAUUGACCACGUCGUUCCGGUGAGUUCAGGUGGACCAAAAUUCCAAUGUGGUCGCCAUCCAGUAUCCUUAUGAGCCUCACGAGGAACCGAAAGAGAGGCCCACCACUCCUGAAUGUCCGAGCCACAUCCCGCCGCCAGUCUGUCUGGUCCCAAAGCAUCAGGAUGGGCUUCCAAACCUGCCUCACCACAACGCAACCCAGUAGUAAGUGUGAAAUGUUCUCCGGCUCUUGGUCGCAAUUGCGGAGACCUCGCUGGAUGCGGUAGCCCACGCCACUCCAUCUAGUGGGGUCGUUCCACGGCGCCCUGGAAUGUCAAAAAUACACGUCGGUGAGGGGAAUCGAACUCUAGACCUCAUGCAAGAGUCACCAAAAUCAGUUUGGUAACCAACCGAACCAUCUUCUUGUUUAUAUUAAUAGAUUCACCAUAGGCUACCUACUGUCAUAAAAAUAUGUUGCCACCUUUUAUCUUUUUUCCCUUUCCCCUUCCUUUCUUUCACGAGCCCUUAUAGUCGACAUACCCGACCCAAUUAAUACACCACUUGUCGCUGCAGCUAGAUCGUCCUUCAAUGGUCUCCAUCCGUUUGUGCCAUCUCACUCCAAGUUGGUUUCUCCUCACCUCCUUCCACCUACGUUAUCGAUCUCG
RNAcentral lists this long non-coding RNA (1315 nucleotides) under Brachypodium distachyon (stiff brome). RNAcentral's name for it is "long non-coding RNA (BDIS_LNC004579)". The record is from RNAcentral. Lineage: Eukaryota; Viridiplantae; Streptophyta; Magnoliopsida; Poales; Poaceae.